AUGGUGAUGGUCGCUCUACAGAGACUCCCCUCAUGGCUUUCAUCGAUAGUGUUGAUGCACAUCACUCCCACGCGCUUGGUGUUUGUGUGCCUACGACGCUGUCUCCUCCAUCAACUUCUACCACUGGUAUUUGUCGUGCUACACCGCCUCCUCUUGCGGCCCCUCAUGGCUUUCAUCGAUAGUGUUGAUGCACAUCACUCCCACGCGCUUGGUGUUUGUGUGCCUACGACGCUGUCUCCUCCAUCGACUUCUACCAUUGGUAUUUGUCGUGCUACACCGCCUCCUCUUGCGGCUCACAUAGGUGGUGGUGGUGGCCACUCCUCUUUUGGUGAUUCUACGUCGACCACUUCAGCGGUAUCCUUCACCGCGCAGGAGCUUGGACAACUUCGACACCUACUUAUUGCUUCUGGUUUUUCAUCGCCCGAUGCUUCUUCGUCGACCUCUUCAGUUAAACCACUAACUAUGCCGAAGAUUAUGAGACUUCAGUGUCUGUUAGAUGCUUCUUUUGGCUCUCCAUCAACAGUUUUGUAG
This 531-nucleotide ribosomal RNA is filed under the name Triticum aestivum (bread wheat). RNAcentral's name for it is "partial small subunit ribosomal RNA". The record is from RNAcentral. Lineage: Eukaryota; Viridiplantae; Streptophyta; Magnoliopsida; Poales; Poaceae.